AUUGAACGCUGGCGGCAGGCUUAACACAUGCAAGUCGAGCGGGGGAAGGUAGCUUGCUACCGGACCUAGCGGCGGACGGGUGAGUAAUGCUUAGGAAUCUGCCUAUUAGUGGGGGACAACAUCUCGAAAGGGGUGCUAAUACCGCAUACGUCCUACGGGAGAAAGCAGGGGAUCUUCGGACCUUGCGCUAAUAGAUGAGCCUAAGUCGGAUUAGCUAGUUGGUGGGGUAAAGGCCUACCAAGGCGACGAUCUGUAGCGGGUCUGAGAGGAUGAUCCGCCACACUGGGACUGAGACACGGCCCAGACUCCUACGGGAGGCAGCAGUGGGGAAUAUUGGACAAUGGGGGGAACCCUGAUCCAGCCAUGCCGCGUGUGUGAAGAAGGCCUUAUGGUUGUAAAGCACUUUAAGCGAGGAGGAGGCUACUUUAGUUAAUACCUAGAGAUAGUGGACGUUACUCGCAGAAUAAGCACCGGCUAACUCUGUGCCAGCAGCCGCGGUAAUACAGAGGGUGCGAGCGUUAAUCGGAUUUACUGGGCGUAAAGCGUGCGUAGGCGGCUUAUUAAGUCGGAUGUGAAAUCCCCGAGCUUAACUUGGGAA
RNAcentral lists this ribosomal RNA (598 nucleotides) under Acinetobacter baumannii Naval-18. RNAcentral's name for it is "bacterial SSU rRNA". It matches the Rfam family "Bacterial small subunit ribosomal RNA", at positions 28 to 620 of the family's 1533-position model. The record is from RNAcentral. Lineage: Bacteria; Pseudomonadati; Pseudomonadota; Gammaproteobacteria; Moraxellales; Moraxellaceae.